GAUGAACGCUGGCGGCGCGCCUAACACAUGCAAGUCGAACGAUAAAAGCCCCUUCGGGUGGGUAUCAAGUGGCGAACGGCUGAGUAAAACGUGUGCAACCUGCCCCCCUCAUUGGGAUAGCCACGGGAAAACCUGGAUAAUACCGCAUACUUCGGCACCUCCUCAUUGAAGACUCGAGAAAGCUCCGGCGGGGAGGGAUGGGCCCGCGGCCUGUUAGCUUGUUGGUGGGGUAAUGGCCUACCAAGGCAAUGAUGGGUAGCUGGGUUGAGAGACCGACCAGCCAGAUUGGGACUGAGACACGGCCCAGACUCCUACGGGAGGCAGCAGUGGGGAAUAUUGCACAAUGGGCGAAAGCCUGAUGCAGCGACGCCGCGUGCGGGAUGAAGGCCUUCGGGUUGUAAACCGCUUUCAGCAGGGACGAGGCGAAAGUGACGGUACCUGCAGAAGAAGCCCCGGCUAACUACGUG
Molecule: ribosomal RNA, 467 nt
Filed under: uncultured bacterium
Lineage: Bacteria
Description: partial 16S ribosomal RNA
Rfam family: Bacterial small subunit ribosomal RNA
Source: RNAcentral